GCGGCAGGCCUAACACAUGCAAGUCGAACGGUAACAGGGAUUGCUUGCAAUCCGCUGACGAGUGGCGCACGGGUGCGUAACACGUAUACAAUCUGCCUUUAACUGAGGAAUAGCCCAGAGAAAUUUGGAUUAAUACCUCAUAACAUGAUGAAGUGGCAUCACUUUAUUAUUAAAACUUCGGUGGUUAAAGAUGAGUAUGCGUCCUAUUAGCUUGUUGGUAAGGUAACGGCUUACCAAGGCUACGAUAGGUAGGGGGCCUGAAAGGGUGAUCCCCCACACUGGUACUGAGACACGGACCAGACUCCUACGGGAGGCAGCAGUGAGGAAUAUUGCGCAAUGGAGGAAACUCUGACGCAGCCAUGCCGCGUGCAGGAAGACGGCCCUACGGGUUGUAAACUGCUUUUAUAUAGGAAGAAACCCCGAUACGUGUAUCGGCUUGACGGUACUAUAUGAAUAAGCACCGG
This 464-nucleotide ribosomal RNA is filed under the name uncultured bacterium. Its description in RNAcentral is "bacterial SSU rRNA". It matches the Rfam family "Bacterial small subunit ribosomal RNA", at positions 39 to 496 of the family's 1533-position model. The record is from RNAcentral.